Molecule: long non-coding RNA, 383 nt
Organism: Ornithodoros turicata
Lineage: Eukaryota; Metazoa; Arthropoda; Arachnida; Ixodida; Argasidae
Exons: 3
Source: RefSeq, a predicted model, not a curated record
GUGCAUUUGCUCUUCUUGGUAGCUGCCAGAAAAUCGAAUCAAGCUUAUGGGACACUGGAUUACAGGUUGCUGCCACUACUCCAUGUGCCCGCAAUUGUCUUGCGUGUAUGAUUACACUAACGGCGUCGCCCACCACGGCGGAAGUGUUUUGCGUACACGCGUUUCAGCAUGAAGCCUGCAGGUGGACGUAAAUUGUAGAAGGCAGCUAGUGGGGGAGAAGAUCAUGGUCAUAGGUCAUGUGACUCCUGGAGCUCCCAGUGGGCUCCCUUGUGGAGUACUUUUCAGAACACACACACAUACAGUUUGCUCACAGAACCAACGAGUAGGAUGUUGCUUGAAUACUGAGAGAAAAUGGCGUAACACAUACAAAUAUCGUGUGACAC